This 603-nucleotide ribosomal RNA is filed under the name uncultured Clostridium sp. RNAcentral's name for it is "bacterial SSU rRNA". It matches the Rfam family "Bacterial small subunit ribosomal RNA", at positions 61 to 692 of the family's 1533-position model. Lineage: Bacteria; Bacillati; Bacillota; Clostridia; Eubacteriales; Clostridiaceae. The record is from RNAcentral.
GUCGAGCGAUUCUCUUUGGAGAAGAGCGGCGGACGGGUGAGUAACGCGUGGGUAACCUGCCCUGUACACACGGAUAACAUACCGAAAGGUAUGCUAAUACGAGAUAAUAUGCUUUUAUCGCAUGGUAGAAGUAUCAAAGCUUUUGCGGUACAGGAUGGACCCGCGUCUGAUUAGCUAGUUGGUAAGGUAACGGCUUACCAAGGCGACGAUCAGUAGCCGACCUGAGAGGGUGAUCGGCCACAUUGGAACUGAGACACGGUCCAAACUCCUACGGGAGGCAGCAGUGGGGAAUAUUGCACAAUGGGCGAAAGCCUGAUGCAGCAACGCCGCGUGAGCGAUGAAGGCCUUCGGGUCGUAAAGCUCUGUCCUCAAGGAAGAUAAUGACGGUACUUGAGGAGGAAGCCCCGGCUAACUACGUGCCAGCAGCCGCGGUAAUACGUAGGGGGCUAGCGUUAUCCGGAAUUACUGGGCGUAAAGGGUGCGUAGGUGGUUUCUUAAGUCAGAGGUGAAAGGCUACGGCUCAACCGUAGUAAGCCUUUGAAACUGGGAAACUUGAGUGCAGGAGAGGAGAGUGGAAUUCCUAGUGUAGCGGUGAAAUGCGUA